ACCCCGAACGAUCUCUUCGGAGAUAGUGGCGCACGGGUGCGUAACGCGUGGGAAUCUGCCCUUGGGUUCGGAAUAACAUCGGGAAACUGAUGCUAAUACCGGAUGAUGACGUAAGUCCAAAGAUUUAUCGCCCAGGGAUGAGCCCGCGUAGGAUUAGCUAGUUGGUGAGGUAAAGGCUCACCAAGGCGACGAUCCUUAGCUGGUCUGAGAGGAUGAUCAGCCACACUGGGACUGAGACACGGCCCAGACUCCUACGGGAGGCAGCAGUAGGGAAUAUUGGACAAUGGGGGCAACCCUGAUCCAGCAAUGCCGCGUGAGUGAUGAAGGCCUUAGGGUUGUAAAGCUCUUUUACCCGGGAUGAUAAUGACAGUACCGGGAGAAUAAGCCCCGGCUAACUCCGUGCCAGCAGCCGCGGUAAUACGGAGGGGGCUAGCGUUGUUCGGAAUUACUGGCGUAAAGCGCACGUAGGCGGCGAUUUAAGUCAGAGGUGAAAGCCCGGGCUCACCCCGGACUGCUUUGAACUGGUUG
RNAcentral lists this ribosomal RNA (528 nucleotides) under Sphingomonas sp. HS163. RNAcentral describes it as "bacterial SSU rRNA". It matches the Rfam family "Bacterial small subunit ribosomal RNA", at positions 59 to 639 of the family's 1533-position model. Lineage: Bacteria; Pseudomonadati; Pseudomonadota; Alphaproteobacteria; Sphingomonadales; Sphingomonadaceae. The record is from RNAcentral.